Molecule: ribosomal RNA, 254 nt
Filed under: uncultured bacterium
Lineage: Bacteria
Description: partial 16S ribosomal RNA
Rfam family: Bacterial small subunit ribosomal RNA
Source: RNAcentral
UACGUAGGGCGCAAGCGUUAUCCGGAAUUAUUGGGCGUAAAGAGCUCGUAGGCGGUCUGUCGCGUCGGUCGUGAAAACUUGGGGCUUAACCCUGAGCUUGCGGUCGAUACGGGCAUGACUGGAGUUCGGCAGGGGAGACUGGAAUUCCUGGUGUAGCGGUGAAAUGCGCAGAUAUCAGGAGGAACACCGGUGGCGAAGGCGGGUCUCUGGGCCGACACUGACGCUGAGGCGCGAAAGCCAGGGGAGCGAACGGG